AUUGAACGCUGGCGGCAUGCCUUACACAUGCAAGUCGAACGGUAACGGGCUUUCGGGUGCCGCUGAGUGGCGGACGGGUGCGUAAUACAUCGGAACGUGCCCGAUCCUGGGGGAUAACGGGGCGUAAGGUUUGCUAAUAUAGCAUACGAUCUAAGGCUGAAAGCAGGGGAACGCAAGGCCUUGUGCGGACGGGGCGGCCGAUGGCAGAUUAGGUAGUUGGUGGGAUAAAAGCUUACCAAGGCGACGAUCUGUAGCUGGUCUGAGAGGAUGAUCAGCCACACUGGGACUGAGACACGGCCCAGACUCCUACGGGAGGCAGCAGUGGGGAAUUUUGGACAAUGGGCGCAAGCCUGAUCCAGCCAUGCCGCGUGCAGGAUGAAGGCCUUCGGGUUGUAAACUGCUUUUGUACGGAACGAAAAGCCUUCUUUUAAUACAGGGGGGUCAUGACGGUACCGUAAGAAUAAGCACCGGCUAACUACGUG
Molecule: ribosomal RNA, 482 nt
Filed under: uncultured bacterium
Lineage: Bacteria
Description: partial 16S ribosomal RNA
Rfam family: Bacterial small subunit ribosomal RNA
Source: RNAcentral